Molecule: ribosomal RNA, 1379 nt
Filed under: human gut metagenome
Description: bacterial LSU rRNA
Rfam family: Bacterial large subunit ribosomal RNA
Source: RNAcentral
GAAGUGAUUAUGCUGACAUGAGUAACGAUAAAAUAUGUGAAAAACAUAUUCGCCGAAAACCCGAGGUUUCCUGGGUAAAGGUAAUCUUCCCAGGGUUAGUCGGAUCCUAAGGUGAGGGUGAAAGCCGUAACCGAUGGAAAACAGGUUAAUAUUCCUGUACUUGUUGUGUAGCGCGAUGGAGGGACGCAGGAAGAUAGGCGGGCCGGGUGUUGGAUAUCCCGGUGCAAGCGUGUAGGAAUAUCCGGUAGGCAAAUCCGCCGGACGAAUCUGAGACGCGAGUCCGUGGGCGCAAGCCCUGAAGCCGUUGAGUCUAUGCUGCCUAGAAAAGCUCCUAAGUUUAUCCACAGCAAUCCGUACCGCAAACCAACUCAGGUGGGUGGGAUGAACAAUCCAAGGCGCUCGAGAGAACUCUGGCCAAGGAACUCGGCAAAAUAACCCCGUAACUUCGGAAGAAGGGGUGCUCUCUAGGGUGACAUGUUUAACAUAUGAAGCCCCGGGGAGCCGCAGUGAAUUGGUGGUGGCGACUGUUUACUAAAAACAUAGGUCUGUGCGAAGUCCUAAAGACGACGUAUACGGACUGACGCCUGCCCGGUGCUGGAAGGUUAAAAGGAGGGGUCAGCGCAAGCAAAGCUCCGAAUUGAAGCCCCAGUAAACGGCGGCCGUAACUAUAACGGUCCUAAGGUAGCGAAAUUCCUUGUCGGGUAAGUUCCGACCUGCACGAAUGGCGUAACGAUCUCCACGCUGUCUCGGCCAGAGACUCGGUGAAAUUGCAGUCGCGGUGAAAAUUCCGUGUACCCGCAGAAAGACGGAAAGACCCUGUGCACCUUUACUAUAGCUUGACAUUGGAUUUUGGGCCUGCAUGUGUAGGAUAGGUGGGAGGCUGUGAACCCUGUACGCCAGUAUGGGGGGAGCCAUCCUUGAAAUACCACCCUUGCAUGUUUAAGAUCCUAACUUCUUCCGGUUAUCCCGGAGAAAGACAGUGUCUGGCGGGUAGUUUGACUGGGGCGGUCGCCUCCUAAAGUGUAACGGAGGCAUGCAAAGGUUCCCUCAGCCUGAUCGGAAACCAGGCGCUGAGUGCAAACGCAUAAGGGAGCUUGACUGUAAGAGAGACAUCUCGAACAGGAACGAAAGUUGGCGUUAGUGAUCCGGUGGUCCCGAAUGGAAGGGCCAUCGCUCAUUGGAUAAAAGGUACGCCGGGGAUAACAGGCUGAUCGCAUCCAAGAGUUCACAUCGACGAUGCGGUUUGGCACCUCGAUGUCGGCUCAUCACAUCCUGGGGCUGAAGCAGGUCCCAAGGGUACGGCUGUUCGCCGUUUAAAGUGGUACGCGAGCUGGGUUUAAAACGUCGUGAGACAGUUUGGUCCCUAUCUUCUGUGGGCG